Molecule: ribosomal RNA, 382 nt
Filed under: uncultured eukaryote
Lineage: Eukaryota
Description: SSU rRNA
Rfam family: Eukaryotic small subunit ribosomal RNA
Source: RNAcentral
AGCUCCAAUAGCGUAUAUUAAAGUUGUUGCAGUUAAAAAGCUCGUAGUUGAAUUUCGGGAUCAAUAUUUCGGUCAUGCCGUUGGUAUGCACUGUUAUCAUUGAUUUCUCACCUUCUAAAGAACCGUAAUGCCAUUAAUUUGGUGUUACGGGGAAUUAGGACUGUUACCUUGAAAAAAUUAGAGUGUUUAAAGCAGGCUCACGCUUGAAUACAUUAGCAUGGAAUAAUGAAAUAGGACAUCCGAUUCUAUUUUGUUGGUUUCUAGGAUCGAUGUAAUGAUUAAUAGGGAUAGUUGGGGGCAUUAGUAUUCAAUUGUCAGAGGUGAAAUUCUUGGAUUUAUUGAAGACUAACUACUGCGAAAGCAUUUGCCAAGGAUGUUUUCA